AAUGAUGGCCUGUACCCGAAACCGACACAGGUGGGGUGGUAGAGAAUACCGAGGGGCGCGAGAUAACUCUCCCUAAGGAACUCGGCAAAAUGGCCCCGUAACUUUGGGAGAAGGGGUGCCACCGCAAGGUGGUCGCAGUGAAGAGGCCCAGGCGACUGUUUACCAAAAACACAGGUCUCCGCUAAGUCGCAAGACGAUGUAUGGGGGCUGACGCCUGCCCAGUGCCGGAAGGUUAAGGAAGCUGGUCAGCGCAAGCGAAGCUAGCGACUGAAGCCCCGGUGAACGGCGGCCGUAACAAUAACGGUCCUAAGGUAGCGAAAUUCCUUGUCGUAAGUUCCGACCCGCACGAAAGGCGUAACGAUCUGGGCGCUGUCUCGGAGAGAGGCUCGGCGAAAUAGAAUUGUCUGUGAAGAUGCGGACUACGUGCACCCGGACAGAAAGACCCUAUGAAGCUUUACUGUAGCUUGGUAUUGUGCUCGGGCUCGGAAUGCGCAGGAUAGGUGGGAGGCUAUGAACCAUUGCUUGUGGGUGAUGGUGAGCCACUGGUGAGAUACCACUCUUUCCGAGCUAGAGUUCUAACAGCCACCCGUUAUCCGGGGGCUGGACAGUAUCAGGUGGGCAGUUUGACUGGGGCGGUCGCCUCCUAAAAGGUAACGGAGGCGCGCAAAGGUUUGCUCAGGCUGGUUGGAAAUCAGCCGACGAGUGUAAAAGCAGAAGCAAGCUUGACUGUGAGACCUACAAGUCGAACAGGGAGGAAACUCGGCUUUAGUGAUCCGACGGUUCUGCGUGGAAGGGCCGUCGUUCAACGGAUAAAAGUUACUCUAAGGAUAACAGGCUGAUCUCCCCCAAGAGUUCACAUCGACGGGGAGGUUUGCACCUCGAUGUCGGCUCAUCGCAACCUGGGGCUGAAGUCGGUCCCAAGGGUUGGGCUGUUCGCCCAUUAAAGCGGUACGCGAGCUGGGUUCAGAACGUCGUGAGACAGUUCGGUCCAUAUCCGGUGCAUGCGCAGGAAUAUUGAGAGGAUUUCUCCCUAGUACGAGAGGACCGGGAGGAACGCACCUCUGGUGUACCAGUUAUCGUGCCAACGGUAAACGCUGGGUAGCCAUGUGCGGAGAGGAUAACCGCUGAAAGCAUCUAAGUGGGAAGCCCACCUCAAGAUGAGUAUUCCCAUGGGGUAACCCAGUAAGGUCACGGGAAGAACACCCGUUGAUAGGCUCUACGUGGAAGCGCAGUAAUGUGUGAAGCGGAGGAGUACUAAUAGACCGAGGGCUUGACCC
RNAcentral lists this ribosomal RNA (1277 nucleotides) under metagenome. Its description in RNAcentral is "bacterial LSU rRNA". It matches the Rfam family "Bacterial large subunit ribosomal RNA", at positions 1633 to 2925 of the family's 2925-position model. The record is from RNAcentral.